Non-coding RNA from Melanotaenia boesemani (Boeseman's rainbowfish), 393 nucleotides. Lineage: Eukaryota; Metazoa; Chordata; Actinopteri; Atheriniformes; Melanotaeniidae. The record is from the annotation of a RefSeq genome assembly.
AUGACUUUGAUUUGCGUCCUCAUCUGGACUCUCCUCUGCUUCACUCAGGGGUCUGUUGGACAGAAUGUUGUUGUGACUCAGUCAGCAGCCAAAUCAGUGCAGCUCGGACAAACUGUCACUAUUGACUGUAAGGCCACUCCAACAAUAAAUCAACGCUCUGGUUCACAAUACUACCUGAACUGGUACCAUCAGAAACCUGGAGAAGCUUUUAAAGCUCUGAUCUACUUGACAUCAGACAGACUUUCAGGAAUCUCCUCCAGAUUCAGUGGAAGUGGAGCAGGGAAUGGAGUUGACUUCACUCUGACCAUCAGUGGAGUUCAGGCUGAAGAUGCAGGAGUUUAUUACUGUCAGAGUUAUCACUGGUUGAAUAGCCAGCCAGUGUUCACACAGUGA